RNAcentral lists this long non-coding RNA (923 nucleotides) under Brassica rapa (field mustard). RNAcentral's name for it is "long non-coding RNA (BRAP_LNC003523)". The record is from RNAcentral. Lineage: Eukaryota; Viridiplantae; Streptophyta; Magnoliopsida; Brassicales; Brassicaceae.
GGGCAGUCUCUCUGAAAGAGGUUUUGAAAACAGCAGGGACUCACCUGAUUUAAAACUUAGAAUCAUCACCUCUACAAUAUUGCAAUCCACAUCUAAGAAGUCCUAAUCACAUAAGCACAUUAUACAAUAUCCUAGCUUAGCAACCAAAUUCACCUAGCCAACAUCUUAGCAAAUCAUGUAUGAGAUUCCCCUCUACCAACCUCAUUUCUUAACAUAAAUAAAUGUGUAUGCUUUACCUUGGGAGUAUCGAUCACAAGACACAUGGACUCUUACCCCAACAGGUAUCUGAGUAAACAGUUAGUCUUGUUCUGGUUUCUUUUACUCUAUAUCUCCCUUCUCCGAAUCUUUUUUAUCUCAAUUCCAAUGAACAAAGAUGCUGAUGCAGUCCAUCUUAUUCACCUUCUUUUCGAUUUUUUUAUUUUUUUUUCUUUUUCUUUUCUUGACAAAGUGUAGGCGAAUAGUGGGGUUAUCGGUAAUGUACCUACCCCUCGCUUCCAACAAUGUGUGAUCAUUCUAUUAGAGUACAAUAAUGGGGUCAUCGGUAAUGUACCUACCCCUCUAAACCGCAAGAAAUCAUCUCAAACUUUUAUUUUAUUUUAUUAAGAUGCCAAAGGGAGGAGAUAAGGAAACCAAAAUCACUCAGACUUUUACCUUUCAGACCUGAAGGAGGAAUCCGAUCCAGUGUAUACCAAGCCCCAAGACAAGCAGUUAAUUCAAAUUAGGUUGGAGGUCAGCUUCGGUUCCUUCAAACAAUCUUAGCAAGUGUGAACAUAGUUGACAGGUUGAUCCACUUUAGUAUCUUUAGUACUAUCUGCAAUCAGUAAGUCUAGAAUGGUGCUAAAGAGUGGUUAGAUAACAAGCAUGAAUCUAAUAAGUUCAUUAUCCCCUUCUUGAUUCAAUAAAAACAGAUUUGAAAAUAUUUU